This 226-nucleotide unclassified non-coding RNA is filed under the name uncultured fungus. RNAcentral describes it as "sequence contains ITS1, 5.8S rRNA gene". The stretch from base 178 to 226 matches the Rfam family "5.8S ribosomal RNA", at positions 1 to 49 of the family's 154-position model. The record is from RNAcentral. Lineage: Eukaryota; Fungi.
UCUCCGUAGGUGAACCUGCGGAGGGAUCAUUACCAGAGAUGGCGGGCCCCCGCGCCCCCGUCCCCAACCCUUUGUUGACCAAACCCUUUUGCCUCGGGGGCAGAGCGUCCGCCGCCGCCCCCGGAGGACCAUCAAACGCUGUCUCUUUGCGUCGGAGUAAUUGAUUAAAUGAAUGAAAACUUUCAACAACGGAUCUCUUGGUUCUGGCAUCGAUGAAGAACGCAGC